GGGGAAUAUUGGACAAUGGGCGCAAGCCUGAUCCAGCCAUACCGCGUGUGUGAAGAAGGCCUUCGGGUUGUAAAGCACUUUAAGCAGGGAGAAAAAGUUAUAAGUUAAUACCUUAUAACCGUGAUGUUACCUGCAGAAUAAGCACCGGCUAAUUCCGUGCCAGCAGCCGCGGUAAUACGGAAGGUGCAAGCGUUAAUCGGAAUUACUGGGCGUAAAGCGCGCGUAGGUGGUUUGUUAAGUUGGAUGUGAAAGCCCUGGGCUCAACCUAGGAACUGCAUCCAAAACUAACUCACUAGAGUACGAUAGAGGGAGGUAGAAUUCAUAGUGUAGCGGUGGAAUGCGUAGAUAUUAUGAAGAAUACCAGUGGCGAAGGCGGCCUCCUGGAUCUGUACUGACACUGAGGUGCGAAAGCGUGGGUAGCGAAC
This 425-nucleotide ribosomal RNA is filed under the name uncultured SAR86 cluster bacterium. RNAcentral's name for it is "bacterial SSU rRNA". It matches the Rfam family "Bacterial small subunit ribosomal RNA", at positions 356 to 773 of the family's 1533-position model. The record is from RNAcentral. Lineage: Bacteria; Pseudomonadati; Pseudomonadota; Gammaproteobacteria.